RNAcentral lists this long non-coding RNA (1035 nucleotides) under Sus scrofa (pig). RNAcentral's name for it is "lncRNA (ENSSSCG00070016174.1)". Lineage: Eukaryota; Metazoa; Chordata; Mammalia; Artiodactyla; Suidae. The record is from RNAcentral.
AUGGUCGGCUGGCACCUGCUUUGGAGGAGAUGCGUCUCCAGUGACUGGAAAAUACACGUCUUCCAAGUGAGGAGGGUAAACACAGGUCCCGGGGUGGGGUGGGGGGGAAGCGCUGAGCCUCACCUGCACCCCAGCGCCAGCGAGGAGGGGAAGGUUGGGGGUGAGUGGGGGGGGUUGUGGGAGGAGCCAGGGUUGUGGGAGGAGCCAGUCCAGGGAAAGCACAAGAUACGGGUUUCACCAAACUGUCGGAAACCCAAGGUCUGGAUUCAGAGCCUCAGAUCUUGCACUGGCAGCAAAUGGGGACACAGCAGCUGGCCUGGGAGCAGCAGGGUUGGCAGCAGCUGGACUGGCCACAGCUGGGUUUGCAGCAGCUGGACUGGAGGCAGCAGGGUUGGCAGCAGCUGGGCUGGCAGCAGCUGGACUGGCACAGCUGGGUUGGCAGCAGCUGGACUGGGAGCAGCCACAGGAGCCACAGCCCCCUUUGCCACAGCUGGAGCAGGCACAGGCUGGCACACAGCAGCACACAGGCUUGCAGCAGCUGGACUGGGAGCAGCCACAGGAGCCACAGCCCCCUUGGAGCCCCCACAGGAGCCACAGCCCCCUUUGGCACAGCUGGAGCAGGCACAGGCUGGCACACAGCAGCACACGGGCCUGCAGCAGCUGGACUGGGAGCAGCCACAGGAGCCACAGCCCCCUUGGAGCCCCCACAGGAGCCACAGCCCCCUUAGAGCCCCCACAGGAGCCACAGCCCCCACAGGAGCCCCCGCAGGAGCCAUAGCCCCCUUUGCCACAGCUGGAGCAGGCACAGGCUGGCACACAGCAGCACACAGGCUUGCAGCAGCUGGACUGGGAGCAGCCACAGGAGCCACAGCCCCCCUUGGAGCCCCCACAGGAGCCACAGCCCCCUUUGCCACAGCUGGAGCAGGCACAGGCUGGCACACAGCAGCACACAGGCACACAGCCGCUGGAGCCACAGCCCCCACAGCUGGAGCCACAGCCUCCGGAACAGCCACAGCAGCCCAUGGUUCUGGUUAA